UGCAUUCACUACUGUAAGUCACUCUGGAUAAGAGCGUCUGCUAAAUGACUAAAA
This is a non-coding RNA of Salmo salar (Atlantic salmon), 54 nucleotides long. NCBI's taxonomy places the organism in Eukaryota, Metazoa, Chordata, Actinopteri, Salmoniformes, Salmonidae. The record is from Rfam.